Nannospalax galili (Upper Galilee mountains blind mole rat) is the source of this 162-nucleotide small nuclear RNA. Its record names the gene U1. It matches the Rfam family "U1 spliceosomal RNA". Rfam says of the family: U1 is a small nuclear RNA (snRNA) component of the spliceosome (involved in pre-mRNA splicing). Its 5' end forms complementary base pairs with the 5' splice junction, thus defining the 5' donor site of an intron. The record is from Ensembl. NCBI's taxonomy places the organism in Eukaryota, Metazoa, Chordata, Mammalia, Rodentia, Spalacidae.
AUACUUAAGUAGCAGGGGAGAGACCAUGAUCAUGAAGGUGGUUUUCCCAGGGCGAGGCUUAUCCAUUAUACUUUGGAUGUGCUGACCCUUGUGAUUUCCCCAAAUGUUGGAAACUCAGCUGCAUAAUUUGUGGUAGUGGGGGACUAUGUUCAUGCUCUCCCC